GCCGGGCGUGGUGGCUCAUGCCUGUAAUCCCAGCACUUUGGGAGGCUGAGGUGGGCGGAUCACCUGAGGUCAGGAGUUCGAGACCAGCCUGGCCAACAUGGUGAAACCCCAUCUCUA
This 117-nucleotide non-coding RNA is filed under the name Chlorocebus sabaeus (green monkey). Lineage: Eukaryota; Metazoa; Chordata; Mammalia; Primates; Cercopithecidae. The record is from Rfam by way of RNAcentral.